Astatotilapia calliptera (eastern happy) is the source of this 3961-nucleotide long non-coding RNA. NCBI's taxonomy places the organism in Eukaryota, Metazoa, Chordata, Actinopteri, Cichliformes, Cichlidae. The record is from Ensembl.
UUUUGCCAAGGACAAGCAAUUGUGUUGCGGUGCAAGUGAUAAUAAGAAGAUUCUGGUGAGAAAUUCCAGUUUCCACCGGUGCUGCGGGCACAACCAGUAUGAUAACAGGACUCAGUGCUGCUGUGAGAAUGAAGGUGUUCUGGAGGUACAACCGAAGGAUUCAUCUUGCUGUGACAAGAGCUCCACUACAGGAGUGCAUAAUGUAGGAAUUCUGCAUUGUGGUCCGAAUGAUAAUAAGAAGAGUCUGGUGAAGAAUUCCACUUUCCACCAGUGCUGCGGUCACCACCAGUAUGACAACAGGACUCAGUGCUGCUGUGAGAAUGAAGGUGUUCUGGAGGUACAACCGAAGCAUUCAUCUUGCUGUGACAAGAGCUCCACUACAGGAGUGCAAAAUGUGGGAAUUCUGCAUUGUGGUCCGAAUGAUAAUAAGAAGAGUCUGGUGAGGAAUUCCACUUUCCACCAGUGCUGCGGUCACCACCAGUAUGACAACAGGACUCAGUGCUGCUGUGAGAAUGAAGGUUUUCUGGAGGUACAACCGAAGCAUUCAUCUUGCUGUGCAAAGGAGUCAGCUAACCCUGAAGGUUUUCAACAACUGACACAUGAGCUCCAACACUUUUGCACUGAACCAAACACACAUCUCUGUGGGUCGACAUGUUACAAUCCAAAGACGCAUCGUUGCUGUGAGAGACACCAAAAGCCUUUUUGGUUCUGCGCCUCAGGUCAAAGCAAGGCCAGGGUGUAUGACCCACGUAUAGAAGUCUGCCGUGAUGGAUCCGUAUUUCAAUGCAAGCCGUGGCUAGAUCAAGUAAUGUACAAAUUGUUUUUUGGGUUUUUCUUUUCCUUUUCUGGGCCUGCCCAGCUGUUUGUGUUUUUUAAUCAGUGUAAAGUGCAAAGCUCAACAGUUUUAAUCUCCUUUUCUGUAGGAAAAUGAAAUCAAGCUUUCAAAUUAUGGCUAAAGCCUAAAGCACUGUUUCCUUAAAAAAACAAAAGGGAAAAACAUAUUAAUGGCAUUUUGGCGAGAUUUUUCAUUAAAGUUUUUGUUAUUAAAAAUGAAGGGCCUCAUGCUGCAAUGUUCAGUUUUACACAAAUAACUGACAGCAAUGGUACCUAGUGAUCCCAGACAAAAAAGGUUGUUUUUGUGCAGCUUCGAUGAGAGAGCUUAGAGCUCCACCCCGCUCCUCUUAUACAGUAACUGAGGGUGUUUUUCAAUCUGAUGUUUAAACUCGUCUAGCGGUGUUGGUUUUGGUUACCACUACUGCAAAAGGUCCAUAAAUCUGGUAAGACAAAAAAAAUUAGAUAUGUUAUGUGUGGAAAUGAGACCUGUGUAAUGUUUGAAUUGUUUCAACUUUUUGUUUUUUUCCUGAUUUUUGCAUUUCAUCUUCUUUUUGUAAAAACUCAUAAAUUUAUGUGUUCAUCCAUGUGCAUUUAAAUGCACAAAUAAAAGGGUUUGGCUGUUUGUGCAUUGUUGAGCAAUUUACUGCAUUAUUUCUGAUUCUUCAAGUGCUGUGUAUUGCUCAGCAUAACGUGGAGUUCUCUGUUGUAAUGACACCUUGUACGAGGGCAGAGAUGAUGGAGAGGAAUGUUCAGAGAUGUGUAUUCCUUACAAUCCGGCUAAAGGGACUCUAUGUUGUUCUCAGUUUUAUGGCAGCCCGGGACAACACUGCUGUGGGACGGAAAUUUACCGGCCUCGUACUGAGAUCUGCUGCAAUGGACACAGACACCCCAAAUCAGAAAACCUUCACUGCUGUGGGGUCAAAGCCUACAACAUUAAAGACCCACAGAUGAAGUGCUGUGCAGGAACACUGUACAAUCUGACAUCAUUAGACAAGCAUGGAGGGGACGCUCAGUGCUGCGGAUCCAUCCUGCAAAAGCCACAGGAUAUUUGCUGCUCAAGCCAGGAAAAAGAGGUGCUUUACUCUGUCAAGACAGGAUUUGGAUGCUGUGGUCACCUCUAUUACAACACCAGCCUGUGCUCAUGCUGUGCGGAGAGGCUGAGAAGAAUCCAUGAACCAGGAAAGGAUCAGAGAAACAUGAUGCAUGGAUCCAGACUUCUAUCUUUGAAUAAUCUAAACACAAGUGAUCUCUGCAAAGAAAUGUACAUUGGGACUGUGGAAAGUGUGUCUGUGAAGAGCGUUGUGUUCAGGAAUGUGCUAUGGGUUCAUGGGAAAUAUUCCAACGUGACAGCUCUGCCUUUGCAUCACAUCUUGGACAUAGAUGAUCACUGCAAAUCACCUAAACUGUUUCUUGGGAAGACCUACAUCUUUAACAACGUUAAUAUUUUCACUGAUUUCAACCAUGACUCUGUUCUUCAGUCGCUCCAUUUCAUUUUUUAUAAAUGUUCAUCUUAGAUCACCACUGUCUGAUCUAUGUAUGGUCAGUUAUUAGCUAUUCCCUUGUUUUUGUCUUAGAACAAGUAAUUAAUUUUUAUUUACUCAGUGCUGGUUUUCUUACUCUAAAAUAGUGCUACACUAAGAGUAAUGCAUAGGGGUUUUUUAUCCUCAGAAGAAUGUACUGUUAAAGUACUCAUUACAGGGAUGUUCUCUUACAUGGUCUAUUAACAAUAUAACACUGAACCUUAGAAAUGCCCAUUAAUUUGUAAAACUCUACCCUAAAAGGAAAGACCAUUGAAGCUUAACAUUUGGGCACUUUGCUGGUGUAAGCAUAAAAUCAAAGAACCAGCCAUAUUUCUAUCACACAUUUUAUUUUUACAUUAGUUAUUGUUGUGCAAGCACACAUGAAAAUGUUUUAAAAUGUGAUCUUUUUAAUCUUUUUGUUACCUAAAUAAUUGAAGAACAUGUAACUCAAUUGAAUUAAUUCAUUAACUGAAAUAUGUUUACUCAAUAAUGCAUUAUAGAAAAAAUUAACUUGAUUAGGGAUUGCAUUACUUUUCAACUGUUUAAAUUUAAAAAAUCCAGAAUUAGUUAUUAGUGAUAUUACUUACAAGUUGCUAUCAGUAAUGCAUUAAAUGUUCAACGCUCAUUUCCAUCCAAACCAUGUUGCUCUGUUUUUGAACGCAUCCCAAAAUGUGUGCUCGGUAAUUACUACUGUUACACAGCUAAUUAGUGCACAGUGUUGUUAACUUAUACAUGCAGUAAUGCAAUAUGACCAUUAUCUUUCAAAGUCUUAAAAAGCUAAAGUAGUAACUAGGAUAUCCAAGCUAGUGUUGGUUUGAAAUUAACAGUAGCUAACACCUUAGCUAUCAGUGUAACAGGAAGCAAGGCAUGCAAGAAUGUUAGCAUACAGCUUAACGGUCACAUAAGCUAAACUGCUAUCAGCUAAUAUUGUUUGUCAUUUGAAAUUUUUGUGACUGUUAUUUCUAUGCCUCUUUUUUGCACUGAACUAAAUUGUAAAUGGCAACUAUUUGCACUUUUUGAACCAUACAAUUGAAUGUAUAAAUGUACUGUAAAGCAUGAUUUAUUUGAAAGAUAAAGCUUGUAACUGUCAAAUGGUUAGUUGACAAUACCAUUAUUAUAAGCACCCCAGUUCUCACUGAUCCCUCUAAAAAUGCAAUAUUUCUGUUUCUUUGUAAGUACCUACUUUUAAUCACCUUGACCCAAGUUAUUUUUAUAUAUGUGACUUUCGGGAAGAUGUUUGGCAUUUAUUGUACUGUGUCUUUACUAAAUUGGUAAGAACAUACCUUUAAGCUACUAACAGGACAAGCUCAUGAUAUACAGUAUAUAUAUUAUAUAUUAUAUUGCAUGUUUAUAUUUAAUAUUUAAUAGCACCUCCUGUAUUAUUAAGUUUUAAAUAAAUAAGAAGAUAAGAAUAAUUGAAUGUGUGUGUGAUUUUUUUUAUUACUUUUAUUACUUAUUAUUUUAUUUAUUACUUUAUUACUUUUUAUUACAUAACAAUUUAUUGGACUAUAUAUACAUAACUAUUACUACAUUUUAUAUACACAUUGUUUAUUUGUAUAUUUGUAGAUAUUCAACAGAAUUAGAUAAUAAAUCAAUACUCUGUGCUU